GUGGGGAAUCUUGCGCAAUGGGCGAAAGCCUGACGCAGCCAUGCCGCGUGAAUGAUGAAGGUCUUAGGAUUGUAAAAUUCUUUCACCGGGGACGAUAACGACGGUACCCGGAGAAGAAGCUCCGGCUAACUUCGUGCCAGCAGCCGCGGUAAUACGAAGGGGGCUAGCGUUGCUCGGAAUUACUGGGCGUAAAGGGCGCGUAGGCGGACAGCUUAGUCAGAGGUGAAAGCCCAGGGCUCAACCUUGGAAUUGCCUUGGAUACUGGCUGUCUUGAGUUUGGGAGAGGUGAGUGGAACUCCGAGUGUAGAGGUGAAAUUCGUAGAUAUUCGGAAGAACACCAGUGGCGAAGGCGACUCACUGGCCCAAUACUGACGCUGAGGCGCGAAAGCGUGGGGAGCAAACAGGAUUAGAAACCCGGGUAGUCC
Molecule: ribosomal RNA, 425 nt
Filed under: uncultured bacterium
Lineage: Bacteria
Description: partial 16S ribosomal RNA
Rfam family: Bacterial small subunit ribosomal RNA
Source: RNAcentral